UACGUAGGCGUCGAGCGUUAUCCGGUUUUACUGGGCGUAAAGGGUCCGCAGGUGGAUUUUUAAGUCUGACGUUAAAGAUCUCGGCUCAACCGAGGGAAGGUGUUGGAUACUGAAAGUCUUGAGAUUGGCAGAGGCUAUCGGAACUUAUCGAGUAGGGGUAAUAUCCGUUGAUACGAUAAGGAACGUCAAAGGCGAAGGCAGAUAGCUGGGCCAAUUCUGACACUCAUGGACGAAAGCGUGGGGAGCGAACGGG
Molecule: ribosomal RNA, 253 nt
Filed under: uncultured bacterium
Lineage: Bacteria
Description: partial 16S ribosomal RNA
Rfam family: Bacterial small subunit ribosomal RNA
Source: RNAcentral